AAAACAUAGCUUUAUGUAUUAAUAUAAAGUGGACGCCUGCCCGGUGAUAAUUUUAACGGCCGCAGUACUUUGACUGUGCUAAGGUAGCAUAAUCAUUUGGCUUUUAAAUGGGGUCUUGUAUGAAGGAGGAAUGGGGAGUUACUGUCUCUAUAAAAAUUAAUAAAAGUUACUUAAAAGGUGAAAAUACCUUUAAAAAUAAAUUAGACGAGAAGACCCUAGGAGUUUAAUAUAUAUUUUGUUGGGGCGACACAACAACAAUUAACUUGUUGAUUUAUAUUUAUAUAUCGGAUAUUUCAUAAAAAUAUAAGCUACCCUAGGGAUAACAGCAUAAUUUAUUAAAGUUUGUGACCUCGAUGUUGGACUAGGGUAAUUUUAUUGUUAGAAAUAAUAAAAGGAAGUUCUGUUCGAACUUAAUUCCCUACGUGAUCU
Molecule: ribosomal RNA, 429 nt
Filed under: Deroceras laeve
Lineage: Eukaryota; Metazoa; Mollusca; Gastropoda; Stylommatophora; Agriolimacidae
Description: partial 16S ribosomal RNA
Rfam family: Bacterial large subunit ribosomal RNA
Source: RNAcentral